This 1236-nucleotide long non-coding RNA is filed under the name Marmota monax (woodchuck). Lineage: Eukaryota; Metazoa; Chordata; Mammalia; Rodentia; Sciuridae. The record is from RNAcentral.
CUGGGGGCCGUUCCCUGGGCUCGCCCCUCCAGCCGGGCUGUCAGCCCAGUGGGUGACCUCGCGUGGGACAGGUUCUGACUUCCUCACCUGGACACAGUCUCCGUAGGUGGGAGGCCUGCGGCUGCCACAUCAUGGCCGUGGGACCUGUGGACGCCCCCCACCCCCGCCAUGCCCGGUUUCCCAUAUGAAGCAGCCCAUCAGGGUGAUGAGACUACUGUACAGGCGGACAGGGGCCCUGGGAAGGGCCUGCCAGGUCCCCUUGCUGUGAGGGGACCGCCUCCGAGGGCCUCCUGGACAGCCAGCUGCGGCAAGGACUUUCUUGGCCUUACGUUGUGAGCUCACCCCCAGCCUCAGGUCGGGAAGUGGGCUCUUCCUUCAAGCAGGCACGGCUCCUGGGUAGCACUGCCCAGUGGUGGCCCCCGUGCAGACAGGGAUGUGGUAGAAAACAGACUCUCCCAGGGUGUUGGGACUAAGCACCUAAGAGAAACGACACCAAAAGAAAGCCAAGGACCCUCGCUUCCCAGGCUCCCCAUGAGGUUGGCCUUGGAGUCCCCGGAGCUGCUGCUGUGCCCUGAUGGGCCCCCCAGUUCCCCAAGCAGCCUUCCUGCUGAAGUGCUGAGGAGUUUGCUGUCACCCUGACCUUCCAUUAGUGUUCCCCAUACAAUCCCAUAACUAAGGUAACCUGCAAAGAUAACUGAGUUCCCUGUAGUUUGAAGUGGCCAAAGGAUGCAAAGAGCAGCACAUGGUAUGGAUCAAAUAGAUAGUAGCCGAUUCUAUUAGGUAAAGAAAAUGUCAACUUAAAGAGAAUGACUACUGGAGACAUUAGGGUGCCCUCUCUCAUCCACUCUUCCUCUUCUACAGUAGCACCCCCUAGUGUUUGGCUGCAGUUGGUUCAAAGGUAACAGAUGCCAUAAGGUGUACAGUCAGUGAGGUUGGGGACUUCUGUUUAGUUAAAGAUAACAUUUCUUUCAUUUGAUGUGAUUAAACAAACACAGAAGCUCGGAUUGCUGCUGUCAGAAUUUGCCACUACAGUAGAAGGCAGGCUGAGAACAAAUUGCUAAGAGGAAAAAGGAAGGACCAAGACCACCACGGAGGAGUCCAGGUCCACUGACGAUCAGUGAGUCUAAUUCAUUUUGGUAAGUGAGUCAGUUAGCAUUGGGAUUUGCUGUUUCAUGUAAUAGUGUAAAUAACUGGGAAAGAACAGUUUUACACUUUGAAAAAAAAUGAUCUCUUAAC